This 510-nucleotide ribosomal RNA is filed under the name uncultured bacterium. RNAcentral describes it as "partial 16S ribosomal RNA". It matches the Rfam family "Bacterial small subunit ribosomal RNA", at positions 28 to 507 of the family's 1533-position model. The record is from RNAcentral.
GACGAACGCUGGCGGCGUGCUUAACACAUGCAAGUCGAACGCAGAGCGAUGGAAGCUUUCUUCUAUCAAUCUUAGUGGCGAACGGGUGUGUCACGCGUAAUCAACCUGCCCUUCAGAGGGGGACAACAGUUGGAAACGACUGCUAAUACCGCAUACGAUCUAAUCUCGGCAUCGAGGAUAGAUGAAAGGUGGCCUCUACAUGUAAGCUAUCACUGCAGGAUGUGAUUGCGUCUGAUUAGCUAGUUGGCGGGGUAACGGCCCACCAAGGCGAUGAUCAGUAGCCGGUCUGAGAGGAUGAACGGCCACAUUGGGACUGAGACACGGCCCAGACUCCUACGGGAGGCAGCAGUAGGGAAUCUUCCGCAAUGGACGAAAGUCUGACGGAGCAACGCCGCGUGAGCGAUGACGGCCUUCGGGUUGUAAAGCUCUGUUAAUCGGGACGAAAGGCCUUCUUGCGAAUAGGGAGAAGGAUUGACGGUACCGGAAUAGAAAGCCACGGCUAACUACGUG